RNAcentral lists this long non-coding RNA (1444 nucleotides) under Oryctolagus cuniculus (rabbit). RNAcentral describes it as "lncRNA (ENSOCUG00000038411.1)". The record is from RNAcentral. Lineage: Eukaryota; Metazoa; Chordata; Mammalia; Lagomorpha; Leporidae.
UCCCAUCUAAGGUUUACUCCUCCUAUCAUGCUACUGAUCACAAACUCCUGAGAAUCUAACUUCACCAGUGCGGACCACAGAUGGGCAUCAUUAGCAUCACUUAAGAGCAUGUCAGAAACCUGGUAUCUAAGGCCCCAUCCACAGCUAGCAAAUCAGAAUCUCCACUUGAUCAAGUUAGAGAUAAUAUUAGGCACCUCUAGAACUAUGAGUGGCCAAAUUCCAUUACCUGUGAUGUUAACCCUUUGCUGCCCAGCUAUUUCCCCUCAAACAAUAAGUCACUCUAGCCUCCAAGAUUUUUAAAACAGACAAGUGGGGCCAGUGCUGUAGUAUAGCGAGUAAAGCAGUCACCUGCAGUGUUGGCAUCUCAUAUGGGCGACAGUUCGUGACCUGGCUGCUCCACUUCUGAUACAGCUCUCUGCUAUGGCCUGAGAAAGCAGUAGAUGAUGACCCAAGUCCUUGGGCCCCUGCACCAGUGUGGGAGACCCAGAAGAAGCUCCUGGCUUCAGAUCGGCAUAGCUCCGGCCAUUGUGGCCAACUGGGAAGUGAAUCAGCGGAUGGAAGACCUCUCUCUCUCUCUCUCUCUCUCUCUCUCUGCCUCUCCGUAACUCUGCCUUUCAAAUAAAAUAAAUAAAUAAUCAGAUAAGAAAAAAAAAGGAGGGCAGUAAAUGAUGAUACUUUGAUGCUAUCAUUCCAGUUACAGUCAAAUUCUCAUUCCUGUACAUAACCCUCAAACCAAUUCAAACAAGUUUAUAUCCUCAGUGAAAUUACCAAGGUGAUCCAUAUAGGCACUCCCUUUCAAAAACAAAAAAACUAUCUGUGAUGAUCAUCUUGACCACACCCUUAAAAACAAUUCCUAACCAGUUUUUUUUUUCUUCUACGACUAUUUCUGUCUCUUACAGGUCUUCUAGAUCUCUCCUCAGCUCACCUUUGUGGCCUUAUCUCUCAGAUCUCCAAUCAAUCCAAAGGUGGUGCUUGCUGGUCCUUGAACCUGAUCUCCAGGAGUUCCUCUUUCCCCAAAACUCUCUCCCAUGGCUAGUUUUUAUUCAUUCGUGAAAGCUCAGUUUAGCUCUUCCUUCCUCCCAGGAGGGACCUUGUCCAUCCUUCCACAGCUGGAUCCUGUGCCGUCUUGGACAUUUCCACAGCAUCUUACGGAUAAUUCCUCACAAUGUGGUUUCUUCACCCUUUAUCUUCUGGCGCUAAUGCCACUAGCAGGCCUGUAACUUUGACCAUAAAAGAAAGUUUCUUUUCUUUCUAAAUAAGUUUCCCCUUCGUUGUCAUUUUAUUUAUAAAAUAGGCAGCUCCCAAGCUUGUUCUGCCCAACCCCACCUCCAAAUCACUUUACAAUGUAAUUGCUCUCUUCUUACUCCCCACAGAAAAUGUUCCAGAUGUUAACAUAUGAAUUAUACAAAAUAAAACAGAAAAAAUAACAAAAAUUAUACUGAAG